CAAAGUGUAGCUUAAUUAAAGCCCCCCGCUUACACCGAGGAAAUGUCUGUUAAACCCAAAUCACUUUGC
RNAcentral lists this transfer RNA (69 nucleotides) under Frankixalus sp. SDBDU 2009.1261. RNAcentral describes it as "tRNA-Val". It matches the Rfam family "tRNA". Rfam says of the family: Transfer RNA (tRNA) molecules are approximately 80 nucleotides in length. Their secondary structure includes four short double-helical elements and three loops (D, anti-codon, and T loops). Further hydrogen bonds mediate the characteristic L-shaped molecular structure. tRNAs have two regions of fundamental functional importance: the anti-codon, which is responsible for specific mRNA codon recognition, and the 3' end, to which the tRNAs corresponding amino acid is attached (by aminoacyl-tRNA synthetases). tRNAs cope with the degeneracy of the genetic code in two manners: having more than one tRNA (with a specific anti-codon) for a particular amino acid; and 'wobble' base-pairing, i.e. permitting non-standard base-pairing at the 3rd anti-codon position. RNAcentral also lists the same sequence under 1 other name. The record is from RNAcentral. Lineage: Eukaryota; Metazoa; Chordata; Amphibia; Anura; Rhacophoridae.